GGCGGCGUGCUUAACACAUGCAAGUCGAACGAUGAACCACUUCGGUGGGGAUUAGUGGCGAACGGGUGAGUAACACGUGGGCAAUCUGCCCUGCACUCUGGGACAAGCCCUGGAAACGGGGUCUAAUACCGGAUACUGACCCGCCUGGGCAUCCAGGCGGUUCGAAAGCUCCGGCGGUGCAGGAUGAGCCCGCGGCCUAUCAGCUUGUUGGUGAGGUAACGGCUCACCAAGGCGACGACGGGUAGCCGGCCUGAGAGGGCGACCGGCCACACUGGGACUGAGACACGGCCCAGACUCCUACGGGAGGCAGCAGUGGGGAAUAUUGCACAAUGGGCGAAAGCCUGAUGCAGCGACGCCGCGUGAGGGAUGACGGCCUUCGGGUUGUAAACCUCUUUCAGCAGGGAAGAAGCGAAAGUGACGGUACCUGCAGAAGAAGCGCCGGCUAACUACGUGCCAGCAGCCGCGGUAAUACGUAGGGCGCGAGCGUUGUCCGGAAUUAUUGGGCGUAAAGAGCUCGUAGGCGGCUUGUCGCGUCGGUUGUGAAAGCCCGGGGCUUAACCCCGGGUCUGCAGUCGAUACGGGCAGGCUAGAGUUCGGUAGGGGAGAUCGGAAUUCCUGGUGUAGCGGUGAAAUGCGCAGAUAUCAGGAGGAACACCGGUGGCGAAGGCGGAUCUCUGGGCCGAUACUGACGCUGAGGAGCGAAAGCGUGGGGAGCGAACA
RNAcentral lists this ribosomal RNA (720 nucleotides) under Streptomyces sp. Sp080513G1-15. Its description in RNAcentral is "bacterial SSU rRNA". It matches the Rfam family "Bacterial small subunit ribosomal RNA", at positions 38 to 774 of the family's 1533-position model. The record is from RNAcentral. Lineage: Bacteria; Bacillati; Actinomycetota; Actinomycetes; Kitasatosporales; Streptomycetaceae.